GCAAACUACUUAGGCGGAGUUAUUGAAUUUAUAUCAUACUAAUUUAAAAAAAAAUAGUUAUCUAUAAAAUAAUUAUUGCACAUUUCAAAAUUUAAUAAAAAAAAAAAAAUCCAUGGAAUGCUAUUCUGCAAUCUGCAUUUAAAUUUGAACCGAAAUAUCUAGGAAUAACUAUUUAACAUGGAAUAGCUACUCUAUUCCUUGCCAUUCCACGAACCGAACAAAGGCUUUAAUGUGUUUUCAUUUCUUUAAACUAUAACAUAAUGGAGUAAUCUUCUAGCUAGGUUUUUUCAAUAUUCUGGGUUGACUUUUUGUGUCUUGUACAGCUGCAAGUAGUUUGGAGGAAUGUUUCAUUGAUUUUGGUUAUUGAGCUUUUUUAUUUUCCCCCCAUAUUCUAGUUCUGGUAGAUAAUCAAAUCCUCUUGUCAGAUGUUGCAUACUGAACACAAUUGCUUGAUAACAGAACUAUACCGAUUUUUUUAUUUCUAAAGAAUUCACUUCUUUUGCGUUAAUUCCCUUCCCAUGUUGAUGAUGUUUUUUUUCUAAAUCUCUAUUUUCUUCUAUGGCA
This 564-nucleotide unclassified non-coding RNA is filed under the name Hevea brasiliensis (rubber tree). The record is from RNAcentral. Lineage: Eukaryota; Viridiplantae; Streptophyta; Magnoliopsida; Malpighiales; Euphorbiaceae.